UCGAGGUGGGAACAGUACACAUUUAUUUGUUUGUCAUACCAAAGGAAAUUAUAUUCAUAAACAUUAAAUCACGCCCUUCCCUUUGACGGAGUUUCAUCGUGCAACUCAUCUUUGGGGUUGUGGCAUCAGACACACACUACAAUCACAAUCGCAAUUGCAGUCGCAUCCACCUGUCAAUUUAUUAAUGAGCUCAAAAACCUGUCCAGUCUUUACAUAAAUACUCGCUUGUGGCUGUGCGAGUAUUGGAGGCAUUCAUUCCUGCGAGGAGGACGCCGCGGCACACUCACUCACCUCCGUAAGAACCACAACAAAAAGCAACGGCGAGAUGUGGGCGGCGAUAAGUUACGAAAAACGCAAGCAGCGCAAUGUUCCAAAGAGGUGCACUGGAGUGAAAGACGCCUCAGAUCCCUUCCGACUCCAAAGCUAAUCAAAAGUUACAACACGCACGCGCGGCCGGUGCGGAUGGGUGGGGUGGCACUGGAGGUGGAGGUGGACUCCGACACACGAUCAAAGUCGUGCGGCAGAUGAUGAUGCAGACGGCUUGUACGCCCACACAAAGCAGUGCAGAGCAGUGCGGUUGUGUGUGUGUGUGAGUGAUGUGUUAAUCAAUCAACGAUCGCGGAUCGAUAGUAAAUUAUUUGUUUUGUAUAUUUUUGUUGGUUUAUUUACUGCAACGGCAGGUACGUGACUUGCCUUACACUUGCACAACAACCGCAAAUCGGAAUAAUCCACGCUUCGGCAGCGACCGAACCGAACCGACACCGACAAGAAGAAAAACAGACA
Long non-coding RNA from Drosophila miranda, 783 nucleotides. RefSeq lists it as uncharacterized. NCBI's taxonomy places the organism in Eukaryota, Metazoa, Arthropoda, Insecta, Diptera, Drosophilidae. The transcript has 2 exons. The record is from RefSeq and is a predicted model, not a curated record.